Molecule: unclassified non-coding RNA, 713 nt
Filed under: Homo sapiens (human)
Lineage: Eukaryota; Metazoa; Chordata; Mammalia; Primates; Hominidae
Description: chromosome 2 open reading frame 92 (ENSG00000291598.1)
Source: RNAcentral
GCAGAGCCAUGGCCCUCUUCUUUGUUCUCUGCUGGAUCCAAGAGUCGGGGGUCUCCCUAUGUUUCCCAGGCUGGCCUCGAACUCCUGACCUCAAGUGAUCCUCCCACCUCAGCCUCCCCGAGUGCUGGGAUUAAAGACGUGAGCCACGGCACCUGGCCUGAAUUUUCCUCAAAUUCAAAAAAUCCUGAUGAAGGUUUGGCUAAAAUCUUUGGUGAGUUACCCCACUCCCUGUGGAACCUCAGGCUGGAUUUGAAGAGUUGCGUGCAUGGUCCUCAUUGUCUCCCAGAUGAAAUUGUGCUCCAAGUGUUUUCCAAGGUUCCGUAUGACCCAUCAUUUGAUGAAACAAGAACAGCAGUCAGAUCCAUUACAAAGAGAGACACACAAAAAAGCUAUUCCCAACAGAAGAGCUUGAACAAUGCUGCAUUUGCAUCAGGUUCAAAUGAGCGAGAGGAACAUUUGGCUAAAAUAUUUGGAACCAGCAUUGCUUGGAAUUCUCCUAAACCAGAAUAUUUCCUUGGCAGUGUGGACAAAAUUCCUGAUAAAGAUCACCUUUCAGAGGAGAAGAAUUUUAAAGAAUCCUGUCUGUUCGACAGGGAUUUAAGAGAGCAGUUAACUACUAUAGAUAAAGAAACACUUCAAGGAGCAGCUAAACCAGAUGCUCACUUUAGGACUAUGCCCUGCGGGCAGCUUCUGCACUUCCUGCAGAGGAACAC